AUGGAUCAAACCAGUGGACAUGUGUCAGACGCUGGAGGCUCGACUGAGGACCAGACUGCAGAGAGUCCAAAACUACCAAAGUCCAGGUCAGGCCCCGAGUGCCUCGGCCUGUCUCGCUGCGCCGCCUGCUACAACCACAAGACGAGCUCCAUGUCUCGUCGCGGCGACAACGGGGAGUCCAGCUCCUCGGCCGAAGACUCCGGUCCGGAGGUGGACUACGAGUCGGAGGCGGAGUCGAGCUCCAGCAGCAGCAGCAGCAGCAGCAGCAGCUGCUCUGAGCCUGAGAGGCCCGAAGGUCUUCUUGUUCCUCUUGUCUCUGAAGAGACUGGCGAGAGGAGCUCACCACAGAGCGGAGAUGCUGCUGAGCCUGAAUCCAGAGGAGAGGACGCGGGAGAGACGUCGGAGCGGCAGCGAGACAAGAGGAACAGGAUGAUUCAAAAAGCGCCGCUUGUCAAAUCCUUCUCCCAGCCUUCCUCCCUUGCUCCUCGCCCCGACCCUCUCUCCUUCCUGCCCCGCCCUCCGAGGAUCGUCUCCACCCUCCUCCUGCAAGGUGUUGCCCGAGACCUGCGGCGACGCCGCCGUCUUCAACAUCCGCCAACAUCAGCCUGUGAGAGAGGACGAGAAGACGGAGGAGAGUUACGGAGGAGGAGGAGGAGGCAGCAUCAACAAUCUGCUGCUUCCACAACCACUUCAGUGCCAGCAGAUGCGGUUUCCAGGGCAACCAACAUUACAGCAUCACCAGCAUCAUCAACAACAACAACAACAACAGCAGCAGCAGCAGCAGCAGAUGUCAUAUCAAUACCAACAACAACCUCAACAUCUUCCUCCCCUCGCAGCUCAAGGUCAAAGGUCACCACCACCCUCACGCCACCCGGCAAUGCCAACACCCCUGUGGGCACCAAACGCACCCUGGACGGAUCCGAACGCGCUCACUCCACAACCGUGCUGGAUCUGUUACCGCGUUCACCUUCCCUACACAAACUGCACUCCUUAACGGAGUGGACACUGUAA
This 1011-nucleotide long non-coding RNA is filed under the name Scophthalmus maximus (turbot). RNAcentral's name for it is "lncRNA (ENSSMAG00000023964.1)". Lineage: Eukaryota; Metazoa; Chordata; Actinopteri; Pleuronectiformes; Scophthalmidae. The record is from RNAcentral.